RNAcentral lists this ribosomal RNA (164 nucleotides) under uncultured bacterium. Its description in RNAcentral is "partial 16S rRNA". It matches the Rfam family "Bacterial small subunit ribosomal RNA", at positions 355 to 511 of the family's 1533-position model. The record is from RNAcentral.
UAGGGAAUCUUCCACAAUGGACGCAAGUCUGAUGGAGCAACGCCGCGUAAGUGAAGAAGGGUUUCGGCUCGUAAAGCUCUGUUGUUAAAGAAGAACGUGGGUAAGAGUAACUGUUUACCCAGUGACGGUAUUUAACCAGAAAGCCACGGCUAACUACGUGCCAG